Molecule: small nucleolar RNA, 127 nt
Filed under: Carlito syrichta (Philippine tarsier)
Lineage: Eukaryota; Metazoa; Chordata; Mammalia; Primates; Tarsiidae
Source: RNAcentral
CAUUGGGAUCUGUGAUGGAGCUGCUUUCCCAUGUGUGCAGCAGGCAGAAGAGAGGCCAACGUGACAGUUUUCCUGCAGGACUGAUGUCAUCUGUAACUCAUCUGUGACAUUUUGGGAAAAGACAGCC